Long non-coding RNA from Saccostrea cuccullata (small rock oyster), 1473 nucleotides. RefSeq lists it as uncharacterized. The record is from RefSeq and is a predicted model, not a curated record. NCBI's taxonomy places the organism in Eukaryota, Metazoa, Mollusca, Bivalvia, Ostreida, Ostreidae. The transcript has 4 exons.
AAAUAUGGUAAUGAGGUCAUAAUGAGGUUUGACGUCAUGACAGUUGCUCCGCCCUGAUUGAUCUUUAUAAGGAAAUAGAGCUCAAAAUAACUAUUUACCGAUAUUUGCAAGAAUUUGUAACAAACGGCAAUAUUUCCAUGUCUAAAUAAAUAAUUAUUAGUGAUUUUCUCCUAUAUAGAAUGGCAUGUUUUUAAAAUAAUCCGAUUUCUUAUGUGCCGUUUGGCUGCAUUCGGCUUCAGCCAAGCGCUUGCACUCGAUGACACGGAAUGUUGUUUACAUCUAAAAACGUGGCGACAUCAGCUGAGACAUGCAGUGGAUUUAUAUGCAAUAAUCAGACAUUCUUUAAAGAAUUGGGGAUAAGAUAAGAGAUAAGGCAUUGUUUAUCCCUAUUACGAGAAUAUGAGGACAUUAUUACAGAAAAUAAUGGAAGAGUGAGACGAUCUGCACCAGCUCCCUAGAUGAAUAAGAUCCAUCACUGCAGUGCAUUCAGCCCAGCAGUCAAGGGAUCCAGGCUUGAAGUAUAAAUAAAUACAAAAUGCAUCCAUUUCUCCACAGGAUAUUCCUAAAGAAUUAGACCAAUGGAAUCAUUCAUGAUCAGGCAGCAAGUUAAUCCACGAUGUAAGGAAAAUGAAUUGAUUUCAUCCACAAGAACAUGAAGUGAUGGAAAAAAAUUGCAGCCCCCCAGUAUUCCUUGUACAGUCUAUCUUAAUUUGAAAAUCUGUUUAUGAAAUAAAAUUUCUUCAUAAAAAAUUAUUUGACUUUUUCAUAUCCAUGUACUUACUGUACAGGUGUUGAAAAGGCUAUUAAGAUUUGAUAAUCUUGACUUGCUUAUAUUUGUGUGGUGCCAGACUGUCAAUGUCCAUCAAGAUUUUUUUCCAGCAUGUACAUUGUGUUAAUUUGUUUUUCUUAAUAAUAGUAACUAAAAAGGAGAUUAAAGGCCCCCCCCCCUAAUUGAUUCAAAACAAGAAAGGGGACCACCAUUUUAUUCUAAAGGGAAGUGUGGGGGGGGGGGUGGCAAGUUUUCCCAAGUCAUUAUGUUUUUUAUUUCUUUUCAUGUCAAUGAAGGACAGGUCUACUAAUAUUUACUUCCAAUAUGAUGAAGGACAGGUUAUUUAUUUUCCUCCCUACUGAAAAAUGUCUGACAAGCUAAACAAAAUUAUAGGAGGGGGAACACUGGUCUGGGGCAGAUUAAUUUUUUUAUCCUAUUUGGGACAUAUUUAUUUUCAACAUUUCAGAUCUACCCACCCCCCUCUUUUGGAAUAAAAUGGUAGUCCCUUUAACAAAUACAGGAAUUUGUAUGUUUUCCACUUAGUCUUAGUUCUUAAAACGUAUGACUUAAAUCCCAUAGGGGUUGAAGGUUUUAAAGAAAGCCAUGAUAUAAUCUUGUAUGCGAAAAAAAAUAUUUGUACACAAUUGCAUGUACAUUAGUGACAAAGGGGUAUGAUUAUCGAAUUAAUUAUUGAUGGAGGCUAU